AACGAACGCUGGCGGCAGGCUUAACACAUGCAAGUCGAGCGCCCCGCAAGGGGAGCGGCAGACGGGUGAGUAACGCGUGGGAACGUACCUUUUGGUUCGGAACAACUCCGGGAAACUGGAGCUAAUACCGGAUAAGCCCUAACGGGGAAAGAUUUAUCGCCGAAGGAUCGGCCCGCGUCUGAUUAGCUAGUUGGUGAGGUAACGGCUCACCAAGGCGACGAUCAGUAGCUGGUCUGAGAGGAUGAUCAGCCACACUGGGACUGAGACACGGCCCAGACUCCUACGGGAGGCAGCAGUGGGGAAUAUUGGAAAAUGGGCGCAAGCAUGAUCCAGCCAUGCCGCGUGAGUGAUGAAGGCCUUAGGGUUGUAAAGCUCUUUUGUCCGGGAAGAUAAUGACGGUACCGGAAGAAUAAGCCCCGGCUAACUUCGUG
Molecule: ribosomal RNA, 431 nt
Filed under: uncultured bacterium
Lineage: Bacteria
Description: partial 16S ribosomal RNA
Rfam family: Bacterial small subunit ribosomal RNA
Source: RNAcentral